Molecule: long non-coding RNA, 477 nt
Filed under: Ananas comosus (pineapple)
Lineage: Eukaryota; Viridiplantae; Streptophyta; Magnoliopsida; Poales; Bromeliaceae
Description: long non-coding RNA (ACOM_LNC027480)
Source: RNAcentral
UUGAUUAUGUGCUCUUUUUUUUUUGAGAGAGAAACGCUACCUGCUUCAUUCAUUAGGUAAAUGAACUUAGCUAUAUAGGGUUUGAGCCAGCUAGGACCUCAUGUAGGCGACUAAACGAAGGAAAAAGAAACUAAAAGAAAAACUAAAAGAAUAACAAAAAAAGAACAACAAAGAACAGUAACCAACGUCACCCUUCUCUGCAAAAAUCAGUACCAAAUGGCCACCACAAGAAUUUGAGACUUCAACGUGUCCGUCUUUGACCGCCUUCUCAUCAAUUCUUUCCAAAUGAACUUGACAUUCUCACAUGAUGGGUAGACGGAGGGCGCCUCUAGGAGGGAAAGAAAAAGAAACUUGCUGACUACUCACUCCACGAAUAAGUGGUCAACUAUUUUCAGUUCAUUGCCAUACAUGACACACCCAUUGAGAUCUGCCCAACCCCUUUUAAGUAGAUUAUCCACAGUAGGGAAUCUCUUUUUU